GUUGUUUUGUGAAAGCUGAGUCAGUGAUGAGAGGCCGACCAACUGGGAGGGUGAUAAAGCUCCGCCGGCGUCACUGAGCAUCACUCUGCAGGAAAACAAACUUGUCAUUAUCGUCCGUCAGCGGCGCCGGCGUCGGUCUUCUCACCAGGAGCACGGCUCGCUGUCACUGGAGGGCUUUGUUUUCGUGCAUGUUGAUGGAAUAAACUGGGACGACGGCGGUGGAUUGGACUCAGCUCCGCCAGCUCUCGCUCGUGCCAGUGUCCGAAUGAAUCAGUAGGAAACUCUUCAGCUAUUUCAUCAUGCUCAGUGUGUUUUCUCCUCUCUGUGAUCUUCUUACCGUUGAGCUGUCAGGCUCUGAAUCCAAAACGGACUCUGGAUAGUUCCAGUGUUCGCUCUCACCAAUGAGAAUUAAACUUGACCUGACAGUCUGCAGUUUAAUAAUGGAUAAGCGAGGACAAACCAAUAAAACAUAGAUGAGGCCAACAACAAGCACCAUGCUCCAGCAGAAUAACAACAACAACUACCCGUGCCUCGGCGUGCCGGGCUCCACCCAGGAGCUGCUCCACAAGUGCUCCAGAGCUGCUGUGCCGCUCCCCAGCAGGCUGGAGCUGGGCGACCUGCCGCUGAUCCGAGGGCUCCGAGCCUGGGCCCUGUGCUCCAGAAACCGGCGGAAGCCCGGCGCUUUGCUGGGAGGCAGACCGGCCCCCGCUGCUCCUCACGCCGGCCGCGGGACCUCCACUUCCUGUUCCCGGCCCGCAGGGCGCCCCAGCGGCGAGUGGGGUCGUACGAGGUACGGGCUUCCUCUGGGGCAGGCGGAGGGCGGAGCUUUGGUCACGGUCGCCACCCUGAAGCCCUCAGAGGGCAGCGGAAAGACGCAGACUCAGUGUCUCUUCCUCCAGACGGAGAGAGGAAGCUGUCUGUACUCCAGUGCAGGCAACAGUGAGGUGGCUGGCUGGCUAAGAGGGAAGAGCACGCACGCUGCAGCCGGGAGAAGGGAUAAUGGGCCAAACCCGCCGGCACACACUGGAGCCAACCGGGUUAGAGCGGGAUCCGGCCGGAGGUGGAGAAAGUCUGGCAACGCGGCAGGCUGUGAAGGAGCGGGUGUGAGCAGAGAGAGGCAUCAGAGGAGCAGGGAGGAUCCUGGGGAAAUCACGGCGGGAGAAAGGAAGGAAGUGCAGGACAAAGGAGCCCCGGGCGACAAACAGCCUCCCAGCCCACAGCAGCACGGGAACGAGGGCGUGUGCAGACCCCCCAGGUGCUGCCACAAUGCUCCCCCUCAAAGCCCGGCUCAGUGCAGGAGAGCAGGAGGAAGCCUGGAGGAGCAGGGAGGAGAACGUCCGAGCGCUGCGGAGGAGCGGCAGCAGAACGAGGAGGAGGGAGGCGUCUGUGAAUCAGGGCCAUCCGCCUUCGCUUCGGUUCCGACCUCGGACCCAGAAUCAGGCCCAGAAGUGCCCGGCGGCUGCGGCGCUGAGGAGAGUGGAGAGGAGCUGAAGGGGCGAAAUACUGGGAGCGAGGACGAGCAGCACACAGAGUCUGGCGCCCCUGAAACGCUGCCUGAUGCCUUCAAACUGAAUCAGGACAGGGCUUCGAGGGAUGGGAAUCCUGCUGAAAAGCCUCGUGAGGGGGCUGUGGAUGGGUUUUCUGACCGUGUGGAAGCGAAUGGAGCAUUUGAAAUAGCGAUGCAAAGCACCGAGGAGGAGGAGGAGCAGAGCGUGGCUCAGACUCUGCCUGAGGCAGGCGUCUGUGGCUCUGCCUCCUUCCCUGAGUCCUCUGCUCCUCCAGAGGGCGGCGUGGGCACCGCGGAGCGGGGGAGGGAGCGGGAGGAGGCGCAGCAGGCAGCGGAGGAAGACCACGCGGUCUUCCUCAUGAGCGCCAGCCACGAGACCAACACUGUGAAGACUUCAGCUUCUCCUCUCAGAACCAAAUGUCCCUCCAACAGGAGGAGCGACGGCGCGACGGCGGAGGCCGGAGACGAGCUGGUGUCAGACGCCGACGAGGCCCGGUCCGAAGCUGGUGGCAGCGACAGAGCCAGACAGGAGGACGAGUCUGCAGCCAAGACCAGCUGUGCAGCAGCCGAAUCUGCAGACGGAUGCAGAGCUGAGACGGAGGAGGAUGGAGCCAGACAAACAGGAGUCAGCCGCGUGGAGGCGGCCGCGAGGAGCACCGCCGUCACUAAUGCUGCCCGCGCUGAUCCCUUCACCUCUCCUGCUCUCUCCCAGGCUAAUCCUGCCCCCCCUCUGCCCCCCCGGGCUUCCAUGGCAACCAGCCUGCCCUGUGCCGCCACCAAGGAGGAGGUGUGGGAGGACGGAGUGACGACAAGAGACGGAGAAAGAGGUCAGGAAGGAGCGAGGAGGCACAGGAGAGAGCUGGAGGGGGAGACGGGCUCCACGGUGGCCUCUGAGGGAGGACGGAGGGAGGGGGAGGAGCAGGAGGAGGAGGAGCAGCAGCAGGAGGAGCAGGAGGAGCAGGAGCAGCGGGAGCAGCAGGAGGAGCAGGAGCAGCGGGAGGAGCAGGAGCAGCAGGAGCAGCAGGAGGAGCAGGAGCAGCGGGAGGAGCAGGAGCAGCGGGAGCAGCAGGAGGAGCUGGAGCAGCAGGAGCUGGAGCAGCAGGAGGAGCAGCGGGAGCAGCAGGAGCAGCGGGAGGAGCAGGAGCAGCGGGAGGAGCAGGAGCAGCAGGAGGAGCAGGAGCAGCAGGAGCAGGAGUUCGGCCUGUUCGUGCAGGCCGAGGGAGAGCCGGCCUGGAGCGAGGACUUCGCCUCUGCCUCGGCUCCUUGUGGGAGCGGAGCGAGCGCUGUACAAACAGCUCCCAGAGGCCGCUCCAUCAGCGAGGACUGGACCCGCUGGACUCCGGGCGGGACCGGCCCGACCUCAGACGACACCUGGACGGCCUUCCCUCUGGAGCCACCGCAGGGUCCGGACGGCGUGGGGCAGUGGUGGCCGAGCGGCGCCGCAGACGAGGGACGAGACGGACUCUCAGCCGGACCCGACGCGCUCCGUGUCUUUGCUGAAGCUUUUCCCUCUGAGCCCGGCUCGUCCUGUGAGCCCGCUUCGGUUCCCACACUGACCCAGCUCCUCAGGGGCAGAGGCAGCCGGGACCAGGGGCUCUUGGACAGUUUCCUUGACCUGAACAAACUGAUGGGCUGGAGGUCAAGGCCGACCGGGAGCGCGUCUCGGGACCUGCUGCUGAGGACUUUACACCUGGAGCAGCCGCUCACGGAAACCAGAGCGGCUCCCUGGACGGCCAAUCGGCGCCUUUCUCCCGGCCUCCCCUCGGCCAAUCACAACGCCCUCAGUGCUGCGGCCAAGCGCCGGCUGUCCUACGACUACAACAGGAACCUUAUGGAGUAA
RNAcentral lists this long non-coding RNA (3347 nucleotides) under Betta splendens (Siamese fighting fish). RNAcentral's name for it is "lncRNA (ENSBSLG00000026717.1)". Lineage: Eukaryota; Metazoa; Chordata; Actinopteri; Anabantiformes; Osphronemidae. The record is from RNAcentral.